RNAcentral lists this ribosomal RNA (203 nucleotides) under Giardia duodenalis. RNAcentral describes it as "Giardia intestinalis partial small subunit ribosomal RNA". Lineage: Eukaryota; Fornicata; Diplomonadida; Hexamitidae. The record is from RNAcentral.
GACGCGGCGGACGGCUCAGGACAACGGUUGCACCCCCCGCGGCGGUCCCUGCUAGCCGGACACCGCUGGCAACCCGGCGCCAAGACGUGCGCGCAAGGGCGGGCGCCCGCGGGCGAGCAGCGUGACGCAGCGACGGCCCGCCCGGGCUUCCGGGGCAUCACCCGGUCGGCGCGGUCGCGGCGCGCCGAGGGCCCGACGCCUGG